This 437-nucleotide ribosomal RNA is filed under the name uncultured bacterium. Its description in RNAcentral is "partial 16S ribosomal RNA". It matches the Rfam family "Bacterial small subunit ribosomal RNA", at positions 29 to 507 of the family's 1533-position model. The record is from RNAcentral.
AGCGAACGCUGGCGGCAGGCUUAACACAUGCAAGUCGAGCGGGCAUCCUUGUGGUGUCAGCGGCAGACGGGUGAGUAACGCGUGGGAACGUGCCCUUCGGUUCGGAAUAACUCAGGGAAACUUGAGCUAAUACCGGAUACGUGCGAGAGCAGAAAGGUUUAUCUGCCGAAGGAUCGGCCCGCGUCUGAUUAGCUAAUUGGUGAGGUUACGGCUCACCAAGGCGACGAUCAGUAGCUGGUCUGAGAGGAUGAUCAGCCACACUGGGACUGAGACACGGCCCAGACUCCUACGGGAGGCAGCAGUGGGGAAUAUUGGACAAUGGGGGCAACCCUGAUCCAGCCAUGCCGCGUGAGUGAUGACGGCCUUAGGGUUGUAAAGCUCUUUUCUCCGGGACGAUAAUGACGGUACCGGAGGAAUAAGCCCCGGCUAACUUCGUG